This 460-nucleotide ribosomal RNA is filed under the name uncultured bacterium. RNAcentral's name for it is "partial 16S ribosomal RNA". It matches the Rfam family "Bacterial small subunit ribosomal RNA", at positions 338 to 795 of the family's 1533-position model. The record is from RNAcentral.
CCUACGGGUGGCAGCAGUGAGGAAUAUUGGUCAAUGGACGAGAGUCUGAACCAGCCAAGUAGCGUGAAGGAUGACUGCCCUAUGGGUUGUAAACUUCUUUUAUAUGGGAAUAAAAUGUUCCACGUGUGGGAUUUUGUAUGUACCAUAUGAAUAAGGAUCGGCUAACUCCGUGCCAGCAGCCGCGGUAAUACGGAGGAUCCGAGCGUUAUCCGGAUUUAUUGGGUUUAAAGGGAGCGUAGGUGGAUUGUUAAGUCAGUUGUGAAAGUUUGCGACUCAACCGUAAAAUUGCAGUUGAAACUGGCAGUCUUGAGUACAGUAGAGGUGGGCGGAAUUCGUGGUGUAGCGGUGAAAUGCUUAGAUAUCACGAAGAACUCCGAUUGCGAAGGCAGUUCACUGGACUGCAACUGACACUGAGGCUCGAAAGUGUGGGUAUCAAACAGGAUUAGAUACCCGUGUAGUC